CGUGCCGUAAACGAUGGGUACUAGGUGUGGGAGGUAUCGACCCCUUCUGUGCCGGAGUUAACGCAAUAAGUACCCCGCCUGGGGACUACGGCCGCAAGGCUAAAACUCAAAGGAAUUGACGGGGGCCCGCACAAGCGGUGGAGCAUGUGGUUUAAUUCGACGCAACGCGAAGAACCGUACCGGGAGUUGACAUCCCCUGCUCACGCAGGAGACUGCGUUUUUCAUCUUCGGAUGAACAGGGAGACAGGUGG
Molecule: ribosomal RNA, 251 nt
Filed under: uncultured Selenomonadales bacterium
Lineage: Bacteria; Bacillati; Bacillota; Negativicutes; Selenomonadales
Description: partial 16S ribosomal RNA
Rfam family: Bacterial small subunit ribosomal RNA
Source: RNAcentral